Molecule: ribosomal RNA, 223 nt
Filed under: Hoplobunus apoalensis
Lineage: Eukaryota; Metazoa; Arthropoda; Arachnida; Opiliones; Stygnopsidae
Description: partial 16S ribosomal RNA
Source: RNAcentral
GGGCAUUCUCCUUACAGGUGGUUUUAUGAAAAUUUUUUGAAAUCAAAUUAAGAGUAAAAAUGCUCUUAUGGGGUCCUGGGACGAGAAGACCCUAGAAGCUUAAAAUUUAAAAAAUUUUUGGUUGGGGCGACUUUAAGAAGAUAUGGAUCUUUUUAAUGAAAUAGUAAAGGUUAAGUUACUCUAGGGAUAACAGCGAUAUUUAGUUUGAGAGUUCUUAUUUUAA